This 424-nucleotide ribosomal RNA is filed under the name Funneliformis sp. RNAcentral describes it as "SSU rRNA". It matches the Rfam family "Eukaryotic small subunit ribosomal RNA", at positions 459 to 886 of the family's 1831-position model. Lineage: Eukaryota; Fungi; Glomeromycota; Glomeromycetes; Glomerales; Glomeraceae. The record is from RNAcentral.
GGGAGGUAGUGACAAUAAAUAACAAUACAGGGUUCUUUUGGAUCUUGUAAUUGGAAUGAGUACAAUUUAAAUCUCUUAACGAGGAACAAUUGGAGGGCAAGUCUGGUGCCAGCAGCCGCGGUAAUUCCAGCUCCAAUAGCGUAUAUUAAAGUUGUUGCAGUUAAAAAGCUCGUAGUUGAAUUUCGGGAUCAAUAUUUCGGUCAUGCCGUUGGUAUGCACUGUUAUCAUUGAUUUCUCACCUUCUAAAGAACCGUAAUGCCAUUAAUUUGGUGUUACGGGGAAUUAGGACUGUUACCUUGAAAAAAUUAGAGUGUUUAAAGCAGGCUCACGCUUGAAUACAUUAGCAUGGAAUAAUGAAAUAGGACAUCCGAUUCUAUUUUGUUGGUUUCUAGGAUCGAUGUAAUGAUUAAUAGGGAUAGUUGGG